Molecule: ribosomal RNA, 308 nt
Filed under: uncultured bacterium
Lineage: Bacteria
Description: bacterial SSU rRNA
Rfam family: Bacterial small subunit ribosomal RNA
Source: RNAcentral
GAUGAACGCUGGCGGCGUGCUUAACACAUGCAAGUCGAACGGGAUCCAUCGGGCUUUGCUUGGUGGUGAGAGUGGCGAACGGGUGAGUAAUGCGUGACCGACCUGCCCCAUACACCGGAAUAGCUCCUGGAAACGGGUGGUAAUGCCGGAUGUUCCAGUUGAUCGCAUGGUCUUCUGGGAAAGCUUUCGCGGUAUGGGAUGGGGUCGCGUCCUAUCAGCUUGACGGCGGGGUAACGGCCCACCGUGGCUUCGACGGGUAGCCGGCCUGAGAGGGCGACCGGCCACAUUGGGACUGAGAUACGGCCCAG